Molecule: ribosomal RNA, 453 nt
Filed under: Streptococcus mitis
Lineage: Bacteria; Bacillati; Bacillota; Bacilli; Lactobacillales; Streptococcaceae
Description: bacterial SSU rRNA
Rfam family: Bacterial small subunit ribosomal RNA
Source: RNAcentral
GACGAACGCUGGCGGCGUGCCUAAUACAUGCAAGUAGAACGCUGAAGGAGGAGCUUGCUUCUCUGGAUGAGUUGCGAACGGGUGAGUAACGCGUAGGUAACCUGCCUGGUAGCGGGGGAUAACUAUUGGAAACGAUAGCUAAUACCGCAUAAUAGCAGUUAUUGCAUGAUAACUGUUUGAAAGGUGCAAUUGCAUCACUACCAGAUGGACCUGCGUUGUAUUAGCUAGUUGGUGGGGUAACGGCUCACCAAGGCGACGAUACAUAGCCGACCUGAGAGGGUGAUCGGCCACACUGGGACUGAGACACGGCCCAGACUCCUACGGGAGGCAGCAGUAGGGCUUCUUCGGCAAUGGACGGAAGUCUGACCGAGCAACGCCGCGUGAGUGAAGAAGGUUUUCGGAUCGUAAAGCUCUGUUGUAAGAGAAGAACGAGUGUGAGAGUGGAAAGUUCAC